RNA transcript from Peromyscus californicus insignis, 1506 nucleotides. It is a transcript of the gene named translation initiation factor IF-2-like, with no coding region annotated. The record is from RefSeq and is a predicted model, not a curated record. The transcript has 2 exons. NCBI's taxonomy places the organism in Eukaryota, Metazoa, Chordata, Mammalia, Rodentia, Cricetidae.
UUUUAAUUUAAUUUUAAUUUUUAAAAUUUUAAUUUUAAUUCUUUUGAGAUUAUAACAUAAUUAUAUCAUUUCCCCCCUCCCCUUUCUCCCCUCCAACCCUUCCUAUGAACAACACCUCCCUCCCCAGCUCUCAUUAAAAUUCAUGGCCUUUUUAAUCUUUAAUUGUUGUUGUUGUUGGUAAUGUGUGUGUGUGUGUGUGUGUGUGUGUGUGUAUGUGUGUGUGUGUUCCUAAAUGUAUAAAUACAACUUUCUUAGUUUGUAGAAUGUUACUUGUAUGUACAUGUUUUCAGGACUGACCAUUUGGUAUUCGAUAACCAGUUGGUGUACUCUUUCCUGGGAAAACCUGUUUCUCCUGCUCUCAGAAUUCCUUAAUUGUUGUAGUUCUUUGUCUAGGGUGGGUGUCAUGAGCUUUCCCCCUUCCAUGAUAGCAUGUCCAUUGGUGUUGUCCUUGUUCAGAUCAUUUUUAUACAAUCAUAUUGAUGAGUGUUUAUAGGUAUAGCUUCUGUAACAUUUCUAGGAGACAUAGUCUCACAGCAAACUUCCUGUUUCUCUGGCUUUUACAAUCUUUCCAUCUCAAGCUUUCAAAGGAGGGAAGCAACCCAUAGUCCUACCCAGCUGUGGAACCCAUAAACCACAAUAAUGACCAGUGUGUCACUUUAACUCAAAGGGUAUAACAGUGGCACACAUAACUUGCUGGUAACCAACAGCUCUCUAGUUGGCCCCACAACCAGCUUAACAAAAGGAAAAUUAUACUGGGAACUGGAAAUAGCCAACUACCCAAGACUAGUGAAGUUAUAGGUCUUGGAGUAGAACCUACAACCACUGAUUUACUAAACCAGAAUAUCUCUAGAUACAUUAUAAAUAUUUAUCUUUAUACCCACAAAUAAGUGUGGGUCUCAUCCUUUAUUAAAGAAACUUCUGUUUAUCACAGAUGGAAACCAUCAUAGAAAACCAUAGCUGAUAAAAUAAUAAUAAUAAUAAUAAUAAUAAUAAUAAUAAUAAAUGAUAAUAAUGAGAGCUAGCCUAGGUUAAAAGAGAAAGAAAAUGUAACAAAAUUGCCCAUAUAAAUUUUGAUAGGCUCUGGUAUGAAACUAGUCCUGAUUAUUGGAGAAAUUUGAAAACUGGUUGCAUCUUAAAAUGGUAUAAAAGAUUUUUUGUUAAUUUUUGUUCAAAGAUAUGGUAAUAAUGUGAUCAUGUAGCGAUUUAAAUGGAUGGAUGUGUGGUUUUGUAAUGAUGUUGACAACUUCUUUUCAGGUGUUAAAUAAAGACAAGCCUGAGUAAUAUGAAGCAAAUCUGGCAAUGUUUGAACUUUUGAGAAGAAGGAGGAUGAAACAAACGAACAAACAAACACCACAAAAGAACGAGCCGUGUGACACCAGGAGGAGACAGCGGAAGAGCGACUCUGAUUUCGACAGGAAAAGGCAAUUUAAAUUGAGAGACAUUGUGGCCUACCUAUUGGGCACUCCUUUUAUGAAUAAAGAAAAAGAGAGAGGGUUCUUGACUUAA